CCCUAAACAGAAAACCUCUACGGUGAGGUAUGUGAACUACUUGUUCACAUGGUGCAUUCAGAGAAGGUAAUAACAGCAGGUUAACAGGGUUGAUGUACAGUUAAAUGAAAAUAUAUAGAAAUUAGAAGUGUGUGUGUGUGUGUGUGUGUGUGUGUGUGUGUGUACACACCAUCAGAUGGCUCUGUAAUUGUGUUUGUGGCUGUUGGACUCGGACUUUUGGCACUUGCAGCUCUUCUCUCUGUACUCUUCUGGCUGAGAUGGAGGAGACAGAAGAAUAAUCCAGAUGAAGGUUACUAUCAGAACGUUGGGCUGAGGGCUAAAGACGAAAUGUAUGCAGCUCUCGACCCUGCAGGCCGGAAACCUGAUGAUGUUUAUUACACACUUGCAGUAGCCGUUACUUAAAACACACAGUUACUUUUGGAAUAUAUUAAUUUAUGUACUGUAAAAGGGACCCCAUUAUGGAAUAUACAGUAUGUUUAUAUAUGAAAAGUGUAUGAUGAUGAUGAUGAUGAUGAUGGCUGACAAAAUAAUAAAUAGUGAAACAUU
Molecule: long non-coding RNA, 546 nt
Organism: Silurus meridionalis
Lineage: Eukaryota; Metazoa; Chordata; Actinopteri; Siluriformes; Siluridae
Exons: 3
Source: RefSeq, a predicted model, not a curated record